ACGAACGCUGGCGGCGUGCCUAAUACAUGCAAGUAGAACGCACAGUUUAUACCGUAGCUUGCUACACCAUAGACUGUGAGUUGCGAACGGGUGAGUAACGCGUAGGUAACCUGCCUGGUAGCGGGGGAUAACUAUUGGAAACGAUAGCUAAUACCGCAUAAUAUUGAUUAUUGCAUGAUAAUUGAUUGAAAGAUGCUAUUGCAUCACUACCAGAUGGACCUGCGUUGUAUUAGCUAGUAGGCGAGGUAACGGCUCACCUAGGCGACGAUACAUAGCCGACCUGAGAGGGUGAUCGGCCACACUGGGACUGAGACACGGCCCAGACUCCUACGGGAGGCAGCAGUAGGGAAUCUUCGGCAAUGGACGAAAGUCUGACCGAGCAACGCCGCGUGAGUGAAGAAGGUUUUCGGAUCGUAAAGCUCUGUUGUAAGAGAAGAACGGGUGUGAGAGUGGAAAGUUCACACUGUGACGGUAUCUUACCAGAAAGGGACGGCUAACUACGUG
Molecule: ribosomal RNA, 504 nt
Filed under: uncultured bacterium
Lineage: Bacteria
Description: partial 16S ribosomal RNA
Rfam family: Bacterial small subunit ribosomal RNA
Source: RNAcentral